AGUGAACGCUGGCGGUAGGCCUAACACAUGCAAGUCGAACGGCAGCACAGUAAGAGCUUGCUCUUACGGGUGGCGAGUGGCGGACGGGUGAGGAAUACAUCGGAAUCUACUUUUUCGUGGGGGAUAACGUAGGGAAACUUACGCUAAUACCGCAUACGACCUACGGGUGAAAGCAGGGGAUCUUCGGACCUUGCGCGAUUGAAUGAGCCGAUGUCGGAUUAGCUAGUUGGCGGGGUAAAGGCCCACCAAGGCGACGAUCCGUAGCUGGUCUGAGAGGAUGAUCGGCCACACUGGAACUGAGACACGGUCCAGACUCCUACGGGAGGCAGCAGUGGGGAAUAUUGGACAAUGGGCGAAAGCCUGAUCCAGCCAUACCGCGUGGGUGAAGAAGGCCUUCGGGUUGUAAAGCCCUUUUGUUGGGAAAGAAAAGCAGCAGGUUAAUACCCGGCUGUUCUGACGGUACCCAAAGAAUAAGCACCGGCUAACUUCGUG
RNAcentral lists this ribosomal RNA (492 nucleotides) under uncultured bacterium. RNAcentral describes it as "partial 16S ribosomal RNA". It matches the Rfam family "Bacterial small subunit ribosomal RNA", at positions 29 to 507 of the family's 1533-position model. The record is from RNAcentral.